This is a long non-coding RNA of Leopardus geoffroyi (Geoffroy's cat), 1300 nucleotides long. RefSeq lists it as uncharacterized. The record is from RefSeq and is a predicted model, not a curated record. Lineage: Eukaryota; Metazoa; Chordata; Mammalia; Carnivora; Felidae. The transcript is spliced from 3 exons.
GAAGGUGUGGGGUGCAGAAAUGGAGACCUCAGCACAGGAGACAGGAAGAAAGGGAACUCCUUGGGUAAUGGCUAAAGGAAUAUUGGGAGGACAGCUUUGCCAGAGAGCAACCAGACCCGAUCAGCAGGAAGUCAGAAGGCUCUAGGCGGGGAGGGAGUUUGUCCCCGGGGAAAAUAAAUGGGACUGACAAAUUAUCCAACAGGUUUGGUCAUGUGGAAAAUUAUACUGAGGGCAUGGAAAGUUUUAGUCAAUUGUUUUUAAAAAAACAAACCUAAGUUGAUGAAAACUGAGGUAGUGAUUAACAGGAAAAACAAAAAAGAAAAGAAGCAGGGUCAUAGUCGACUACUUGACCGAGGAAUAAAAUCUAGAUUCAUGGUCAUAAUUGUGGAAAUGUAGAAUAAGAAUUGAAAAAAAAAAAAAAAAAAGAUGUAAGUAUUUGGGGAGGAUUGGGGGAGGGGAAGAGGGAACGGAAGAAAAACUUCUUGUCUACCACAUUAAGACGUCGAUGGAUGUUUAAGAUGAUGACUCAAGCUAUCUAAGAAUAGUGUUAUUUACAAAUGGAGUGGUAAAGAAGAAACAGCUUUCAAGAGAAGAAGGGUCACCAGGAAGCACACCUUCAGGAAACACCAUUUCUGUUCUAGUCCAAAGGGCACCAUCCACCUCGACCAGAAUGUGAGAUGCCCUUUGGAGUUGCACAGAGGUCCUGCCUCUUUCCACCUGCACUGCUGUCACCCUGGCCCGGCCACCACCCUCUCACUGUAUUUCUGCAGCUGAGACCUAGGCCUUAUGCAAGGGAAGGCCCAGGCCAGGAGGGGCCUCACAGCAAGAGUGAAGGAUGCCGCUUGGACAAAAGAGGAGGGUGGAAGACUGGAUGCCACGGAGAAGCCCUUCCAUGCCCAGGAGCCGGCGCGGCAUGAACUUUGGGAGGCCCCAGAGCCUCUGACCCCCCUUCUAAACCAGCACCGUAUUCUGAUUGGCUGUCUCUGCCUGCCUCGGUUUAUUCCUCUUACUGAUCGACCACCUCCUUCCACCGUGUCAGAUCUCUGUUCCUACUGGGCCAGUCCCCCCACCUGCCACAGGGUCACCCAGGAUGGCCUGGGUUCUGCGAGGCCUCGACGGCUUGCCUCUUGCCACCAUCAGAUUCUUCCUCAUUAAACAAAUGAAUCACAAUCCUAAUUAAUUUGAGCAACAGAAUUUAUGUAACUACUCCCAGCAGGAUGUCUGCUCUCAGUCGGUAGCAAGAUUAAUUCCUCUCUCUGGGAAAUUCCAGCCGUGCUGGUCAAUAAAGCUUUAAUGAUGA